This 650-nucleotide ribosomal RNA is filed under the name uncultured bacterium. RNAcentral's name for it is "bacterial SSU rRNA". It matches the Rfam family "Bacterial small subunit ribosomal RNA", at positions 42 to 738 of the family's 1533-position model. The record is from RNAcentral.
GCAGGCCUAACACAUGCAAGUCGAGCGAAGUCUUCGGACUUAGCGGCGGACGGGUGAGUAACGCGUGGGAAUGUGCCUCUGGGUGCGGAACAACCGUUGGAAACGACGGCUAAUACCGCAUGACGUCUUCGGACCAAAGAUUUAUCGCCCAGAGAUCAGCCCGCGUCUGAUUAGCUAGUUGGGGGGGUAACGGCCCACCAAGGCGACGAUCAGUAGCUGGUUUGAGAGGAUGAUCAGCCACACUGGGACUGAGACACGGCCCAGACUCCUACGGGAGGCAGCAGUGGGGAAUCUUAGACAAUGGACGCAAGUCUGAUCUAGCCAUGCCGCGUGAGCGAUGAAGGCCUUAGGGUUGUAAAGCUCUUUCACCGGUGAAGAUAAUGACGGUAGCCGGAGAAGAAGCCCCGGCUAACUCCGUGCCAGCAGCCGCGGUAAUACGGAGGGGGCUAGCGUUGUUCGGAAUUACUGGGCGUAAAGCGCGCGUAGGCGGACUGAUCAGUCAGGGGUGAAAUCCCGGGGCUCAACCCCGGAACUGCCUUUGAUACUGUCAGUCUUGAGUCCGGAAGAGGCGAGUGGAAUACCGAGUGUAGAGGUGAAAUUCGUAGAUAUUCGGUGGAACACCAGUGGCGAAGGCGACUCGCUGGUCCGGU